UCCGUAGGCGGGCAAUUAAGUCAGAGGUGAAAUCCCACAGCUCAACUGUGGAACUGCCUUUGAUACUGGUUGUCUUGAGUUAUAGUGAAGUAGAUAGAAUAUGUAGUGUAGCGGUGAAAUGCAUAGAUAUUACAUAGAAUACCGAUUGCGAAGGCAGUCUACUAACUGUAUACUGACGCUAAUGGACGAAAGCGUGGGGAGCGAACAGGAUUAGAUACCCUGGUAGUAC
This 229-nucleotide ribosomal RNA is filed under the name uncultured bacterium. RNAcentral's name for it is "partial 16S ribosomal RNA". It matches the Rfam family "Bacterial small subunit ribosomal RNA", at positions 568 to 796 of the family's 1533-position model. The record is from RNAcentral.